GUUCUCUGUGCUUCCCAGCAAACAGUAAAGUCUGAGACUCAGCAGAUGAAAGGCAUUGUGGGACAGUCUUUAUCGUUUCCAGAGAGAGUGUUUAAAACUGGAUAUUUAAGGAGGAGCGAAGAAGUAUACCAGAACUGGAGUCGCAUAGAGACAACCCUGAAAUGGCAUCAGUUUAUGAUACACUGCAGUUACAUCGCAUGGCUGACAGCAGGGAUGUUGACACAGCAUGAAGGAACAGAACUGGAAGUCACUGAGAAGCCAACAUGAUAACUCAUAAAGAGGACAUUUAACCAAAAUGAAAGUAAAAUAAUAAUCACCCAGAAAACCUUUUAGAGGCACAGUUGUUAUGGGAGAAAAAUCCCCUGGAACUGUUGCGCUGAUGUUAUAACUUCAGGCUUUCUUUGUAGGUCAUUCUCACAGACCUGUCAAAUAGAGGCCUCGCUGACAUCCACUGAUAAGGACCAAUUCAAUAACUAUUUAUUGAGUUAGUAGCAGGGUCAGGAUAAUCCUUCUUUUCAGCUGCCUUUUGUCCCAAAUCCCAAUGUAUAAGUUAAAACAAAUGGAACAUAUAUUUUAAUACUGGGCACAACUUUGGUUUUGGAAGUGGGAGGACAUAACUUUUUAUCCUGUCGGAUAAACACUCCAAACAACCUACCCGCCCACUCGGAGGCGUCCGUAUGGUCCUAAAGCACACCAUUGCCUCGUUUUGUAUCACAUUCCAAUGAUAAAACUGGGGGGACAAAAAUGAUAUUUCAGAAUGUGGGGGGGACAUGUGGCACCCUUGGUGUUUGCUAUGCUACUGCUGGCCAAAGCUUCUUUUCAGUUAUGACUGUUUUGUUGUUUAAAUGUAGGUGCCUCCCCUGUAUCUUUUUAUAGCUGGUCAUUGUUUAGCUUGCCAGUGGAUAGCAGCUGUGUACAUAAUAGAAAAAAAGCAGGCGUUUGAGAUAAAGCCUCCUACUCCUUAGCAGCAAUGGCUGUUAGGCUCCUUUAGGUCCAUAGAUGUAAUAACAAAAGCUUUAAUAACAAAAGCUAUUAACAAUAGAUUUACUUUUUUUCUGUAGAUCUUGAUUUGCCAUUUGAUCUUGAGUGUUUUUAGACUCUUCUUAUCACUUUUCGCAAAAUUUUGUUCUGGCCUAACUUGUCUCUCUUAAUUAGCUUGUUUCAUUUAUUAUGAUGGAUCAUUUAUUUAGCUGAAAUAUGUAUAUCUGUCAUUCUUAUUGAAAGCAAGUCUAAGAAGUGGAACACAGGAGUGAUGGUUGCUGAUAAUUGGUAUUGGUAUUUCUGAUCAAUUUGAUGUUAUUUUAAUGGACAAAAAAAAUGUCAUUUUCUUUCAAAAACAAGGACAUGUCUAAGUGACCCCAAACUUUUUACUUGUAGUGCCGUAUAUAUAUAUAUAUAUUCCAGACUCUGACAUUACUUGUUCUGAUAUUUCUUAAUUCCAUUAUUUUUAUGUUGGGGAUUUGUGUGUAUUGUUAUAAUUAGGGGGUAGUUUUACAAUCAUGUUACACUGUAUGUACAAGUGGGUAACCUGUACAAGUGUGAGGUGUGAAAUGGAAAUGUGUUUUGUUGCAUAUCUCCCUCCCCCUGAGACACCCUCAGAGAGUGGGGUUUUGGCCAGGGAUCAGCCAAUACCCCUGGAGCAAUUAGGGUUAGAUGCCUUGCUCAUGGGCAGAAUGACA
Molecule: long non-coding RNA, 1679 nt
Filed under: Salmo salar (Atlantic salmon)
Lineage: Eukaryota; Metazoa; Chordata; Actinopteri; Salmoniformes; Salmonidae
Description: lncRNA (ENSSSAG00000097238.1, ENSSSAG00000106376.1)
Source: RNAcentral